UUUUGUGUGGGCUGUAACCUCUGUUUUAUUGGCUACUGUAGAUAACGUGUGUCCCUCCCCUGCAUGGGAGCAGGGCAUAAAAGAAACUGUAGCUUUAAUACCUGUUGUUAUUACUUCCAGUAAAGUCUUGUUCCAGCAUUAAAGGGACACUGUAGUCACUAUAACCACUUUGUCUCUUUGAAUUGGUUAUAGUGCCUGGAGUGCCCUGGCACUGUCCCUCCAUUCAGUGUUGCACCAUGUUUGUGCAAUAUGCCACAAAAUAAGAGUCCCUGGCCACCCACAGUCCGGCCCCUUCAGUAUGUGUAGCUAAGGCAGAGAUUACACACUUCCUUGUUGUCAUACCCACUCAUACUGUCAGUUGGAACUCUGACAGGCUAAAAGCAGUCAGCUGACACUCUCAGCCAAUCACAGCUGCCUAUUUCUGCUCAGGAU
Non-coding RNA from Pelobates cultripes (western spadefoot toad), 432 nucleotides. The record is from the annotation of a GenBank genome assembly. Lineage: Eukaryota; Metazoa; Chordata; Amphibia; Anura; Pelobatidae.